RNAcentral lists this long non-coding RNA (570 nucleotides) under Capra hircus (goat). RNAcentral's name for it is "lncRNA (ENSCHIG00010031196.1)". Lineage: Eukaryota; Metazoa; Chordata; Mammalia; Artiodactyla; Bovidae. The record is from RNAcentral.
UUCUUGUGCUAAAUCUACUUGUGUCUAAUCCAUGGACUGUUUUCUGAACCCAUCCUCUGAUUUAACCUUGUUCGUGGGAGAGCCCAGAGGACACUCCUUUUAUCAAAGCAGUCAAGAAUGCACAGGAAGCUCUCCUGCUCUUAGACUGAAAACCUGGCUGCUCUGUGUCUAGACAGUAGAAGUUCUGGAGAUGAACAGUGCUGAUGGUUGCACAACAUUGUGAAGGUACUUACUGCCUCUGAACUGUGCGCCUAAAUACAGGACGUAUCAUCAGUGUGUUUUCUUCAUAAACUUGGAACUGCUACUUUCGUUCCUUUAAGAGAUGGAAAAUGUUAGCUAUAUAACCCAGUUGUUAACAACUUUCUUCUUUGCCGUUAAAUCAGAAUUACUUAUUACCAGAAGACAUCUGAGUUUAUUUUUUACAUGAAACAAAAAUGUUAAUACUUACUUCAAGGAACAUGACAGUAACCACUAGGAAAUAAAUCUUAUAAGAUUUUUAAAAUCCAUCAGGUUUAGUUUAAAGUGAUACAGAUCUAAUAUAAUUAUUAUUUUUUUUUUUUAGUUUUUUAU